AUGCGAAAAAGCCUCUACCCAGCCUAUCAUCCAUACAGAUGUUGGCGGUCUUACCCUUGGCCAUCUGCAGUGUCUUGGUCACGGUGUCUGCCAUUCUCAGGGAGUAGACCCCAACUACAAAACACUCUGGACAGAGCCCCGGGGAAACCCGUCGCUUCCUGCUCUACCCAUGACCCCCAUCCACACCCGCCCCUCCCCUCCCAUGGACACAGCUGCAGUCCUGUCACACCCAGAAAGGGCCUGGCCCAGGUGGACAGGAACUCGGGCCGACAUUUCUCAAGAUGUCUGGCCCCUCUCCUCCCUUGCAGAAUGAAUCAACUCUUCCGUGUUCUCUCCUCUCUAGACAAUUGCCACCCAUGGUGACGGCCCACCUAAGAGGGAUAGCAUACUUUUAUACUUAAAAGUCUUUUAGGUACAUGUUCAAAAAGCGAUCUAAAAUACAUGUCUUUCUGGGACGCCUGGGUGGCUCAGUUGGUUAAGCAGCUGCCUUCGGCUUAGGUCAUGAUCCCAGCGUCCUGGGAUCGAGUCCCACAUCAGGCUCNNNNN
RNAcentral lists this long non-coding RNA (546 nucleotides) under Mustela putorius furo (domestic ferret). Its description in RNAcentral is "lncRNA (ENSMPUG00000030088.1)". Lineage: Eukaryota; Metazoa; Chordata; Mammalia; Carnivora; Mustelidae. The record is from RNAcentral.